CAGAAAAUGAAGACGUUCUACUAGAUUAUGGCAGUGAGCAGGUGGAUGUUCUUCUAAAUCAUUUUCAAGAAGUACUGCAAAGAGGUGGAUGCCAGACAGACAACGUUCAAGGUGAGUGGAGAAGUCUGAAGACACUUGUAAGACAAACAUUUCAAGACAAGUCCUACAGCAGCUUGUGGCAAACUUUGUCCACCAAAGAGCCAUACAAUGUUGACUACAAGAACAUACUGCACCUUGUCGAGAUGAUGCUGAUUCUACCUAUAUCAGCUGCACAGUGUGAGAGAGGAUUCUCAGCACAGCACCGCAUCAAAAACUCCACUCGAAGCAGUCUGCACGUAUCCACCACGGAGGAUCUUAUUCGAAUCAGCACUGAGGGACCUUCUCUGGAGAGAUUUGAUCCAAGCAAAUGCGCAGAGAAGUGGCUGUCUUCAAGUAAACGUUCAAGAAAACCACACUACAAAGCCUGGCCAGCUGAAAUAUGCAGCAUCUGAUUGCUGUUCACUGUGUGGCAGGAACAUUAAUUGUGUUCAGCAGUGCAGAUGUCAAUAAAGCUUUUAAAAGGACAGUU
This is a long non-coding RNA of Sinocyclocheilus rhinocerous, 568 nucleotides long. RefSeq lists it as uncharacterized. The transcript has 3 exons. Lineage: Eukaryota; Metazoa; Chordata; Actinopteri; Cypriniformes; Cyprinidae. The record is from RefSeq and is a predicted model, not a curated record.